UCGCUCUGGCCCCUCACAUAGCGAACAAAUCUUUCGCCUUUUACUAAAGAUUUCCGUGUCGAGGGGUCGCUAAUGAGUACUGUUUUUUCAAUUUUUGUGCGGCCAGUCUAACGACUGGUCU
Molecule: small nuclear RNA, 121 nt
Filed under: Thelohanellus kitauei
Lineage: Eukaryota; Metazoa; Cnidaria; Myxozoa; Bivalvulida; Myxobolidae
Description: U5 spliceosomal RNA
Rfam family: U5 spliceosomal RNA
About the family: U5 RNA is a component of both types of known spliceosome. The precise function of this molecule is unknown, though it is known that the 5' loop is required for splice site selection and p220 binding, and that both the 3' stem-loop and the Sm site are important for Sm protein binding and cap methylation.
Source: Rfam by way of RNAcentral